Molecule: ribosomal RNA, 119 nt
Organism: Gadus morhua (Atlantic cod)
Lineage: Eukaryota; Metazoa; Chordata; Actinopteri; Gadiformes; Gadidae
Source: Ensembl
GCUUAUGGCCAUACCACCUUAGGCACGCCCGAUCUCGUCUGAUCUCGGAAGCUAAGCAGGGUCGGGCCUGGUUAGGGCUUGGAUGGGUGACCGCCUGGGAAUACCAGGUGCUGUAAGCA